This 1407-nucleotide long non-coding RNA is filed under the name Malus domestica (apple). RNAcentral's name for it is "long non-coding RNA (MDOM_LNC021229)". Lineage: Eukaryota; Viridiplantae; Streptophyta; Magnoliopsida; Rosales; Rosaceae. The record is from RNAcentral.
AACCAUGAGUGACACCUAGCAGCAUAUCAUGGUUACCCAAGCUAACCAGAAGAGGUGGAGAACCUAUUCAGUUUAGGAUUACAAUGCAAUACGAUCUUUCUCUAAUACAAUACUCUUGAUCACAUUGUUUGGAUUGAUAGUUUAUUCAUGUCUACUAUCCAAUGUGAUUUGUGUGCUUAUAUGAUUACCUUGAAUGUGAUUUGGAACGACUUCCUAAAUAUCAUUCAUACUCUGGCCAGAGAUUCUUAAUCACAUCAUAGAGUAUUCUCCCUCAAACGGUUUGAAGGUUAGAGAUCCCUUGGUGCGCAUUCACUUGCCUCCAUGGCUAAGUGGCUUAACCCCAACUAUGUCGUGGACACCCUCUGACGGGGUGACUUUGACAUAGUCAAAGAUCAAGGACCUAACCACAAGACAACUAUGAUGCCUCAGGUCAAAAGACUACUUUGCAUUAUCCCAACCAUGAGUUCUCAUGUGACAUGAAUAUGAGAACUCUUCGUUGAUCGUGUUCAGUGAAGUCAUUCUCUAUUGAGCACCUACGUACUUGUCUUGAUGUCACACACACCAAUGACUCGAGACUAGUCACUCUCCUUGAGAGAAGACACAGCACAUUCUGAUCUUAACGGAUUGUCAAUGCGCAAUUGGCAAUCCUAUGAUCAGGAACGUUUAGGAUGUGUCUACGAAAGAAUGGUCUCAUGAAUCUAACUUCUUUAGAUCGCAUCUCCCAAUCACAUAUUCCUUGGACUUAUCGUUUAAGCGUAUAACAUUUAUAUGAGACGGCUUAAAACAAUAAUCUUUGCCCUUGAUAUUAAACUAGAUUAGUUUAACAUGUGAAAUGUCCGUAAAGUAUCAUCACAUGAUUGGUUUUAGGGCACAUUUCCAACAUAUCGUACCUCCGCCCCAUCCCUCGAUGCUUGCAGUGCCCGAGUCAUCGACUUCUUCGGUGACUCAUCCAUCAGUGAGCACUCGGCAAUCUCAUCGACAGCCCUAGAGUAGCAACGACCAUGAAGAGUAUGCAUGGGGUUCCAACUCUAACGGAGAGGGAACAGAGACAAGAAAUACAUCUUUUUGUGCAAACAUUAAAUUUAUUUUUUGUUUCCUCUAUGUGUGAAUUGUUGGGUACUUAUGGUUGUGUUGUUUUAUUGUUUGCGGGUUUUAGAAAAUAUUUUUUUUUUAGAGGAAGUUCUGCCAAAUUUUCAAUAGAUUAUUUACUUUGUUUUUACGCUAACAUAUUUCAUUUUGCAGUUCCUAAAAACACUAGGGGCCCAUGCAGACUCCUGAGCAAGUGGGAUGCUCGGCAUCGGGCAUCUGAAGGGAAAAUUAUGAGAUUCUAGAAUGGGAUUUCAUAAAGACUAUCAUGCAUAUACAAAUCAAAUUUAAUAUACGAAAGCAGCGGAAGCAUUUAUAACA